RNAcentral lists this ribosomal RNA (878 nucleotides) under Pseudomonas sp. RNAcentral's name for it is "bacterial SSU rRNA". It matches the Rfam family "Bacterial small subunit ribosomal RNA", at positions 1 to 876 of the family's 1533-position model. Lineage: Bacteria; Pseudomonadati; Pseudomonadota; Gammaproteobacteria; Pseudomonadales; Pseudomonadaceae. The record is from RNAcentral.
UUUUUUGAGUUUGGAUUCUGGCUCAGAUUGAACGCUGGCGGCAGGCCUAACACAUGCAAGUCGAGCGGAUGACGGGAGCUUGCUCCUUGAUUCAGCGGCGGACGGGUGAGUAAUGCCUAGGAAUCUGCCUGGUAGUGGGGGACAACGUUUCGAAAGGAACGCUAAUACCGCAUACGUCCUACGGGAGAAAGCAGGGGACCUUCGGGCCUUGCGCUAUCAGAUGAGCCUAGGUCGGAUUAGCUAGUUGGUGAGGUAAUGGCUCACCAAGGCGACGAUCCGUAACUGGUCUGAGAGGAUGAUCAGUCACACUGGAACUGAGACACGGUCCAGACUCCUACGGGAGGCAGCAGUGGGGAAUAUUGGACAAUGGGCGAAAGCCUGAUCCAGCCAUGCCGCGUGUGUGAAGAAGGUCUUCGGAUUGUAAAGCACUUUAAGUUGGGAGGAAGGGCAGUAAGUUAAUACCUUGCUGUUUUGACGUUACCGACAGAAUAAGCACCGGCUAACUCUGUGCCAGCAGCCGCGGUAAUACAGAGGGUGCAAGCGUUAAUCGGAAUUACUGGGCGUAAAGCGCGCGUAGGUGGUUCGUUAAGUUGGAUGUGAAAGCCCCGGGCUCAACCUGGGAACUGCAUCCAAAACUGGCGAGCUAGAGUACGGUAGAGGGUGGUGGAAUUUCCUGUGUAGCGGUGAAAUGCGUAGAUAUAGGAAGGAACACCAGUGGCGAAGGCGACCACCUGGACUGAUACUGACACUGAGGUGCGAAAGCGUGGGGAGCAAACAGGAUUAGAUACCCUGGUAGUCCACGCCGUAAACGAUGUCAACUAGCCGUUGGAAUCCUUGAGAUUUUAGUGGCGCAGCUAACGCAUUAAGUGACCGCCUGG